GACCAAACAGAAUCCUUUAUUUUCAGACCUUCAAUGCUGAAUUUGAGCUUGUCUUCUUCCUUCUUCCUUCUUCCGGUUCAUCACCUCCUCCGUUAACAAUCAUAGCUAGGGUUUCAUUUGGGAAUAAGUCUCCGAUUGAGCUUCCUCCUUCGUUAAGGAAGGGGUUUUGUUGUCAUUUAUAUGUAGGUUUUUCAUGAUCUCGCUCUUCUGAUCUGUGUUGUUAUCUGCUGCUUGAAUUUCCGAGUCCUGUUUGUAAGUGACGGAUUCGCAUUAUUUGUUUGGUGAUGGUUUGUAUAAGAAGAAGGGGAAUUGAACGGUUGUGUGGUGGAGAUUGAAUUGUUUGGCCGUGGCUCUUUGAUAGGUUCUAAUAUCUGGGAUUUAGUUUGCCACCAUGUCGGUGAGUGAGCGCAAGACGAUCUACCUAGAACAAGGAUGGGAUUUCAUGCAGAAGGGCAUCAAAAAGCUCAAGAAUAUUCUUGAAGGAUUGCCUGAGCCUCAGUUUAGCUCCGAGGACUAUAUGAUGUUGUAUACGUAUAUCUACAAUAUGUGCACUCAAAAGCAUCCUUAUGAUUAUUCUCAGCAACUUUAUGACAAGUACAGGGAAUCGUUUGAAGAGUACAUUCUAUCAACGGUAUUACCUUCUUUGAGAGAGAAGCAUGAUGAAUUUUUGUUGAGAGAGCUAGUGAGAAGGUGGGCAAACCAUAAGAUUAUGGUUAGGUGGCUUUCCCGCUUCUUUUACUAUUUAGAUCGCUACUUUGUUGCUCGGAGAUCGCUUCCACCUCUUGAAGAUGUUGGACUGAGCUGCUUCCGGGAUUUGGUAUACAAGGAACUAAAUGGUAAAGCGAGGGAUGCAGUUAUAUCUCUUAUUGAUCAAGAACGGGAAGGAGAACAAAUUGAUCGAGCUUUAUUAAAGAAUGUCCUGGAUAUAUUUGUUGAAAUUGGAAUGGGGCAAAUGGAUUGCUAUGAGAAUGAUUUUGAAGCUGACUUGCUCAAAGACACCUCCGCAUAUUAUUCUCUAAAGGCUUCCAACUGGAUCCUUGAAGAUUCUUGUCCUGAUUAUAUGCUCAAGGCUGAGAAGUGCUUAAGGCGUGAAAAAGAUAGGGUUGCUCAUUACUUGCAUUCUAGUAGCGAGCCAAGGUUACUUGAGAAAGUUCAACAUGAACUUUUAACUGUGUAUGCGACCCAACUCCUUGAAAAAGAGCACUCUGGAUGUCAUGCAUUACUUAGAGACGACAAGAUUGAAGACUUAUCACGGAUGUUCAGGCUCUUUUCUAAAAUACCUCGGGGGUUAGAUCCUGUUUCUGGCAUAUUUAAGCAGCAUGUUACUACUGAAGGAAUGGCAUUGGUGAAGCUGGCUGAAGAUGCAGUUAGUAACAAAAAGGCAGAGAAAAGGGAUGUUGUCGGCAUGCAGGAACAGGUUUUUGUUCGGAAGGUGAUUGAGCUGCAUGACAAGUACCUGGCUUAUGUGAAUGACUGUUUUCAGAAUCAUACACUUUUCCAUAAGGCACAUAAGGAAGCUUUUGAGGUCUUCUGCAACAAGGGUGUUGCUGGAAGCUCAAGUGCAGAACUGCUUGCAACUUUUUGUGACAAUAUUCUCAAGAAAGGAGGAAGUGAAAAAUUGAGUGAUGAAGCAAUUGAAGAAACUCUUGAAAAGGUGGUCAAGCUGCUUGCCUAUAUUAGUGACAAAGACAUGUUUGCUGAAUUCUAUAGGAAGAAGCUGGCUCGGAGGCUUCUCUUUGACAAGAGUGCCAAUGAUGAACAUGAGAGAAGUAUCUUGACAAAAUUGAAGCAACAAUGUGGUGGUCAGUUUACUUCAAAGAUGGAAGGAAUGGUUACAGAUUUGACUCUGGCGAGGGAAAACCAAGCUAGUUUUGAAGAGUACCUCAGCAUUAAUCCUAAUGCAGACGCAGGACUUGACCUGACAGUCACAGUUCUGACUACUGGAUUCUGGCCAAGUUACAAAUCUUUUGAUCUCAACCUUCCAGCAGAAAUGGUCAAGUGCGUUGAAGUUUUCAAGGAGUUUUAUCAAACAAAAACAAAGCACAGAAAAUUGACAUGGAUUUACUCCUUGGGUACCUGCAACAUAACCGGAAAAUUUGAUGCAAGACCUGUGGAGCUGGUUGUGACAACCUACCAGGCUUCUGCGCUGCUUCUCUUUAAUUCUUCAGAUAAGUUGAGUUACUCAGAGAUAUUGACUCAGUUGAACUUGACUGAUGAUGAUGUUAUUAGACUGCUUCACUCCUUGUCAUGUGCCAAGUACAAGAUUCUUAACAAGGAGCCAAGCACAAAAACAAUAUCAUCUGCUGAUAUUUUUGAAUUUAAUUCAAAAUUCACGGACAAAAUGAGGAGGAUUAAGAUUCCUCUUCCGCCCGUAGAUGAGAAGAAAAAAGUAGUUGAUGAUGUCGACAAGGACAGAAGAUAUGCUAUUGAUGCAUCCAUUGUGCGUAUUAUGAAGAGCAGAAAAACUUUGGGUUACCAACAGUUAGUAAUGGAGUGUGUUGAGCAGUUAGGGCGCAUGUUCAAGCCUGAUGUCAAGGCAAUUAAGAAAAGGAUUGAAGACUUGAUCUCUCGGGACUACUUGGAAAGAGACAAAGAUAAUCCCAAUCUGUUCAGAUACUUGGCUUGAAGCUGCCUUGACGAGCGUGCAAAUGAAGGGGGUCAGUGGCCGCUGCGAAUGGCUAAACAAGAGGAUGAUGUCUAAACUCGUAAAAAUUGAGCGCUUCUUAGUAAUAGCCUUGAAAAGGAAACUGCGAGUGUUUUUACAUGUUGCCUCCAUAUCCAGUUGGUAAGGAUUUUGCUCCUGACUUAUGAGGCUGUGGAUGAAAUCCUGUGGAGUGAGGAUCUUCUUGGUGGGUAACAUGUAAUUGGUGAGUAACAUGUAAAUAUUUUUGUAAGCAGUUUUUGAGCUUUAAAGUAUAUCUUAGCUCUGGUGAGCUUUUUAACUCAUCUAAAUUUUCUUGUUAUAAAAAGAAUAUGGUAUUUCUUCAUGUUUUCAUUUAUGAUUUGCUGUUACUUUGAAUUUCUUACUUAUUGUUUAGUUGGUAAUAAAAUAUGCUGAAAAAUGUAAAGCUUUUUAGCUGAA
This is an RNA transcript of Prosopis cineraria, 3082 nucleotides long. It is a transcript of the gene named cullin-1-like, with no coding region annotated. The transcript has 21 exons. NCBI's taxonomy places the organism in Eukaryota, Viridiplantae, Streptophyta, Magnoliopsida, Fabales, Fabaceae. The record is from RefSeq and is a predicted model, not a curated record.